GAUGAACGCUGGCGGCGUGCCUAAUACAUGCAAGUCGAGCGAACAGACGAGGAGCUUGCUCCUCUGACGUUAGCGGCGGACGGGUGAGUAACACGUGGAUAACCUACCUAUAAGACUGGGAUAACUUCGGGAAACCGGAGCUAAUACCGGAUAAUAUAUUGAACCGCAUGGUUCAAUAGUGAAAGACGGUUUUGCUGUCACUUAUAGAUGGAUCCGCGCCGCAUUAGCUAGUUGGUAAGGUAACGGCUUACCAAGGCAACGAUGCGUAGCCGACCUGAGAGGGUGAUCGGCCACACUGGAACUGAGACACGGUCCAGACUCCUACGGGAGGCAGCAGUAGGGAAUCUUCCGCAAUGGGCGAGAGCCUGACAGAGCAACGCCGCGUGAGUGAUGAAGGUCUUCUGAUCGUAAAGCUCUGUUAUUAGGGAAGAACAAAUGUGUAAGUAACUAUGCACGUCUUGACGGUACCUAAUCAGAAAGCCACGGCUAACUACGUG
Molecule: ribosomal RNA, 497 nt
Filed under: uncultured bacterium
Lineage: Bacteria
Description: partial 16S ribosomal RNA
Rfam family: Bacterial small subunit ribosomal RNA
Source: RNAcentral